CCCUCCUCGGGUAACCGAGGGAGGUCACCUAGUGGCGAACGGGUGAGUAACACGUGAGGAACCUGCCCCGGAGACCGGAAUAGCCCAGGGAAACUUGGAUUAAUGCCGGAUGUCCUCGGAUGGUCGCAUGGCCGGCCGAGGAAAUGGUCCGCUGCUCCGGGAUGGCCUCGCGGCCUAUCAGCUUGUUGGUGAGGUAACGGCUCACCAAGGCUCCGACGGGUAGCUGGUCUGAGAGGACGAUCAGCCACACUGGGACUGAGACACGGCCCAGACUCCUACGGGAGGCAGCAGCAGGGAAUUUUGCACAAUGGGCGAAAGCCUGAUGCAGCGACGCCGCGUGCGGGAUGAAUGCCUUCGGGUUGUAAACCGCUUUCAGGAGGGACGAAGCGAAAGUGACGGUACCUCCAGAAGAAGCCCCGGCCAACUACGUGCCAGCAGCCGCGGUAAUACGUAGGGGGCGAACGUUGUCCGGAUUUAUUGGGCGUAAAGAGCUCGUAGGCGGCUCAGCAAGUCGGCCGUGAAAACCCGGGGCUCAACCCCGGGACGCCGGUCGAAACUGCUGUGGCUAGGGUCCGGUAGAGGAGAGUGGAAUUCCCGGUGUAGCGGUGAAAUGCGCAGAUAUCGGGAGGAACACCAGUAGCGAAGGCGGCUCUCUGGGCCGGUACCGACGCUGAGGAGCGAAAGCUAGGGGAGCAAACAGGAUUAGAUACCCUGGUAGUCCUAGCCGUAAACGUUGGGCA
This 740-nucleotide ribosomal RNA is filed under the name uncultured Actinomycetes bacterium. RNAcentral's name for it is "bacterial SSU rRNA". It matches the Rfam family "Bacterial small subunit ribosomal RNA", at positions 71 to 815 of the family's 1533-position model. The record is from RNAcentral. Lineage: Bacteria; Bacillati; Actinomycetota; Actinomycetes.